AGAGCGAACGCUGGCGGCAGGCCUAAUACAUGCAAGUCGAGCGGCCACUUCGGUGGCAGCGGCGGACGGGUGAGUAACGCGUGGGAAUGUGCCCUUUGGUACGGAACAACUGAGGGAAACUUCAGCUAAUACCGUAUGUGCCCUUCGGGGGAAAGAUUUAUUGCCAUUGGAGCAGCCCGCGUUGGAUUAGCUAGUUGGUGGGGUAAAGCCCACCAAGGCGACGAUCCAUAGCUGGUCUGAGAGGAUGAUCAGUCACACUGGAACUGAGACACGGUCCAGACUCCUACGGGAGCAGCAGUGGGGAAUAUUGGACAAUGGGCGAAAGCCUGAUCCAGCCAUGCCGCGUGUGUGAAGAAGGUCUUCGGAUUGUAAAGCACUUUAAGUGGAGG
RNAcentral lists this ribosomal RNA (389 nucleotides) under uncultured soil bacterium. RNAcentral describes it as "bacterial SSU rRNA". It matches the Rfam family "Bacterial small subunit ribosomal RNA", at positions 26 to 445 of the family's 1533-position model. The record is from RNAcentral.